GACGAACGCUGGCGGCGUGCCUAAUACAUGCAAGUUGAGCGCUGAAGGGUGGUGCUUGUACCAACUGGGUGAGCAGCGAACGGGUGAGUAACGCGUGGGGAAUCUGCCUUUGAGCGGGGGACAACAAUUGGAAACGAAUGCUAAUACCGCAUAAAAACUUUAAACACAAGUUUUAAUUUUGAAAGAUGCAAUUGCAUCACUCAAUGAUGAUCCCGCGUUGUAUUAGCUAGUUUGUGAGGUAAAGGCUCACCAAAGCGAUGAUACAUAGCCGACCUGAGAGGGUGAUCGGCCACAUUGGGACUGAGACACGGCCCAAACUCCCACGGGAGGCAGCAGUAGGGAAUCUUUGGCAAAAGACGAAAGUCUGACCGAGCAAAGCCGCGUGAGUGAAGAAGGUUUUCGGAUCGUAAAACUCUGUUGGUAGAGAAGAACGUUGGUGAGAGUGGAAAGCUCAUCAAGUGACGGUAACUAAACAGAAAGGGACGGCUAACUACGUG
RNAcentral lists this ribosomal RNA (497 nucleotides) under uncultured bacterium. RNAcentral describes it as "partial 16S ribosomal RNA". It matches the Rfam family "Bacterial small subunit ribosomal RNA", at positions 28 to 507 of the family's 1533-position model. The record is from RNAcentral.